AGGCCAUGUGAGGAUACAGUGAGAAGGCAGCGACCUGCAAGCCAGGGAGAGAGCCCUCACCAGGAACAGACCCUUCUGGACCUUUGAUCUGGAACUUCUAACCUCUGAAACUCUUGGAACAGCAAGAUGCAAAAAUCCUGAGUCUUCAUAGCCAGCUCCUGCCGAAGAGAGAGGGCCUGGCAGCUGAGCUGGAUGCUUCAGGAGCAGAGGAUCUAUCAACUGCAGACCAAGCAUACGGAGACGCAGGCAGACCUGGAACAGAAACCCAGCAGCUCCAGCGGCUCCAACAGCACUUGGUGGCCGGACGGUCAGCCGCAGGAAGCGUGCCAGGGGCCAUGAGGCAGGAAAUGACCCAAUCCU
Myotis davidii is the source of this 360-nucleotide long non-coding RNA. RefSeq lists it as uncharacterized. The transcript is spliced from 3 exons. The record is from RefSeq and is a predicted model, not a curated record. Lineage: Eukaryota; Metazoa; Chordata; Mammalia; Chiroptera; Vespertilionidae.